AUGGCUCGAACAUCGAAGUCCAACCCUGAUAUAAAAAGGCCCCCGAAUCAUUUCAAUGGACAGAAGAAGUACUACUACCAGCAAAACAAUUGCAGUGACAGUCCCUCACUCUACUCUUCGACUCUCACACUCGCUCACGACGUAGGGUUCCCGUUUUCUGAAAAUUCUUCAACAAGGUUCAAGUAGAACCACUUUCUCAUGGAUUCGUCUUCAGCUUCGUCUCUGCAACUAGCCAUGGCGGCCUUGGUGGGAGCCUCGUUCAUGGCCAUCUCCGCCUUCUACUUCCACAAGCGCAGCGUCGACCAGGUCCUCAACCGCCUCAUCGAGAUCCGCCGUAACCGCCCUCUCAAUUCCGUUAACAACCACGAAGACGAAGAAGAAGACAGAGAAGCAGAGGAGGAGAUAGACGGCGACGGAGGCUCCGGUUCCGACGAGGAAAUGGUGAUCGAUCGGAAAAUGUGGUCCCGGGACCUUUCGAAGUCGCUCGACGAGAACUCGCUUCGCGGCUAUAGAAUCUCGUCGUCGCUGCCCAAUGUGGCUCCCGGAAACGAUUUGUUGGAUGAGAACCACAAGUUCGAUCAGCCGAUGAGAGCUCGAGCCAAAAGUUAUGCUGCUACAUCGCUCGAUAAACUCAAUUUGAUCCCCUCGGGGCUUCCGCCUCUUCGAUUUGAUCAGAGAGAUGGACUGGAUCGGUUUGUUAAUCAUUCUGCAAAGUAUACGAGGGUGGCAUCUGUUGGUAGGCUAGUGACGCCAAGGUCCCCCGGUGGCAAUGCUUUUGAUGAUGAUGGGGAUUCAGACGACGAUGGAACCGAGCUUACAAAUGGAGAAGACAUGCUUUUUGACUAUGGAAACAUAGAUUCUCCAAUUGAUUUCACAAAUGCACAAGAUGUAAAUUCAAACAAUCAAAAAACUUGCAGCAUUCAAAAAAUAGAUGAAGCUAGGAAGUGUAUCCAAGAUAAAAUGUGUAUGGCAACUGCAACUGAAGCAAAAGCUAGUGUAGAUCUGCAUGGUGAUGGAAAGGUAGAUACACCUUCAGUGCACAUGGUGGGGAAUGAUCCUAAUUUUGAAAACACCGUUUUAGCUCUAAGAGCAACACUCCAUGAACAUGUGAGGUUGGAGUCAACAAGCAGAGAAGAGGAAGAAGUACAAAAAAUGAUUCGUGAAUGUUUAGAUUUGCGUAAAAAUUAUGUCUAUAGGGAACUGGUUGCUCCAUGGAAGAAGGAAACUGAGGGGAAAUCGAGUGCAUCCAAUAUGAACAGUGAUCCCUUUCACUUUGAACCUGUUGAAGCAACAGCUCACCGUUUCAAAAUGGUAGAUGGAGUUGUACAUGUUUAUGCAAGUGAAAAUGAUACUAUGGAUCUUUCCCUGUUGCAAGUUCAACAAGAUUUUUCACUGAUCUGCAUCAACUCCUAAAAAUAACAUCUCUUGGAAAUGUUCGCUCUUCAUGCCAUCAUAGACUACGAUUUCUUGAGGAGAAGUUCCGCCUUCAUCUGUUAGUAAAAGGAGAUAGUGAGUUUCUGCUUCAAAAGAGUGCGCCACACCGUGAUUUUUACAAUGUCAGAAAGGUUGAUACACAUGUGCAUCAUUCUGCAUGCAUGAACCAGAAACAUCUCCUACGCUUCAUCAAGUCAAAGCUAGGAAAAGAACCUGAUGAGGUUGUCAUAUUCAGAGAUGGAAAGUAUAUGACCCUUAAGGAAGUUUUUGAGAGCUUGGACUUGUCAGGGCAUGAUCUUAAUGUUGAUUUGUUGGAUGUCCAUGCUGAUAAAAGCACAUUCCAUCGAUUUGACAAAUUCAACCUUAAGUAUAAUCCUUGUGGACAGAGCAGACUCCGAGAGAUAUUCUUAAAGCAGGACAAUCUUAUCCAAGGUCGGUUUUUGGCAGAAGUAACCAAGCAAGUUUUAGUUGAUCUUGAAGCAAGCAAAUACCAGAUGGCUGAGUACAGGAUUUCCAUUUAUGGAAGGAAACAAAGUGAAUGGGACCAGAUGGCGAGUUGGUUUGUUAAUAAUGCUAUCUAUAGUGAGACAGCUGUAUGGUUAAUUCAGCUACCGCGGCUAUAUAAUGUGUACAAGAAAUUGGGAAUUGUUACCUCUUUUCAGAAUAUUUUAGAUAACGUUUUUAUUCCACUAUUUGAAGUCACAGUGGAUCCAAAUUCUCAUCCUCAAUUACAUUUGUUCCUGAUGCAGGUGGUGGGUUUCGAUCUUGUAGAUGAUGAAAGUAAACCAGAACGGCGUCCUACUAAGCAUAUGCCUACACCGGCCGAAUGGACCAAUGAGUUCAAUCCUGCAUAUUCCUACUAUGCUUAUUACUGCUAUGCAAACUUGUAUACUCUCAACAAGCUUCGUGAAUCAAAAGGAAUGCCAACAAUAAAACUUCGGCCCCACUGUGGAGAGGCGGGUGAUGUUGACCAUUUGGCUGCUGCUUUCCUUCUAUGCCAUAAUAUAUCUCAUGGGAUUAAUCUGCGAAAAUCUCCAGUUUUGCAGUACUUGUAUUACCUUGCACAGAUUGGUUUGGCCAUGUCGCCUUUGAGCAAUAACUCCCUUUUCUUGGACUAUCAUCGCAACCCUUUUCCAAUGUUCUUCCAGCGUGGCCUAAAUGUCUCGCUCUCAAGUGAUGACCCUUUGCAAAUCCAUUUAACAAAAGAAGCUCUUGUGGAAGAGUAUAGUGUUGCAGCACAGGUCUGGAAGCUCAGUGCUUGUGACCUCUGCGAGAUAGCUAGAAAUUCUGUCUAUCAGUCUGGAUUUUCACAUUCAGCAAAGUUGCAUUGGCAUGGUGAUAAAUAUUUCUUGACUGGCCCUGAAGGAAAUGAUAUUCACAAAACAAAUGUUCCCCAAAUAAGGAUUGAAUUUCGAUAUAAGACAUGGAAGGAUGAGAUGCAGUAUGUCUACUCAGAAAAAGCCAGCCUUCCUGAAGAAAUAGUCCCAUGAAGAAAACAAUAUAGAUUUCACUGUAUCCUGGUAGCCAAUGAUGCUAAUGAAAUGUGGAGUUAAAUUAGGGUUGAUGUCAAUAUUUAUAAUGGCUUAUAACUGCCAAAUUCUGUUGUAAAUUUAUUUAAGACCCUUCUUCUGAGUUCUAAGUUCUAAUUCACUGCUUCAUUCAAUAGAAAAGUAAUAGAGUAGUAGUUUCUAGAGGGAAAAUUAUUAGAGCUUUAUACAAUUUUGUUAGGCCCAUAUAAAAAUGUCCCAUCAGAAAUACCAGCUUAGCCAGUUUUUUGUUCA
Molecule: RNA transcript, 3215 nt
Organism: Quercus lobata
Lineage: Eukaryota; Viridiplantae; Streptophyta; Magnoliopsida; Fagales; Fagaceae
Gene name: AMP deaminase-like
Exons: 19
Source: RefSeq, a predicted model, not a curated record